RNAcentral lists this ribosomal RNA (492 nucleotides) under uncultured bacterium. Its description in RNAcentral is "partial 16S ribosomal RNA". It matches the Rfam family "Bacterial small subunit ribosomal RNA", at positions 29 to 507 of the family's 1533-position model. The record is from RNAcentral.
AGUGAACGCUGGCGGUAGGCCUAACACAUGCAAGUCGAACGGCAGCACAGUAAGAGCUUGCUCUUACGGGUGGCGAGUGGCGGACGGGUGAGGAAUACAUCGGAAUCUACUUUUUCGUGGGGGAUAACGUAGGGAAACUUACGCUAAUACCGCAUACGACCUACGGGUGAAAGCAGGGGAUCUUCGGCCAUUGCGCGAUUGAAUGAGCCGAUGCCGGAUUAGCUAGUUGGCGGGGUAAAGGCCCACCAAGGCGACGAUCCGUAGCUGGUCUGAGAGGAUGAUCAGCCACACUGGAACUGAGACACGGUCCAGACUCCUACGGGAGGCAGCAGUGGGGAAUAUUGGACAAUGGGCGCAAGCCUGAUCCAGCCAUACCGCGUGGGUGAAGAAGGCCUUCGGAUUGUAAAGCCCUUUUGUUUGGAAAGAAAAGCAGCAGGUUAAUACCCCGCUGUUCUGACGGUACCCAAAGAAUAAGCACCGGCUAACUUCGUG